Molecule: small nuclear RNA, 22 nt
Filed under: Arabidopsis thaliana (thale cress)
Lineage: Eukaryota; Viridiplantae; Streptophyta; Magnoliopsida; Brassicales; Brassicaceae
Description: snRNA_12697
Source: RNAcentral
AUGCUUAAUGCUAGAUCUAGAG